GCCGAGGUAGCUCAGGGGUAGAGCAAGCGACUGAAAAUCGCUGUGUCGGCGGUCCGAUUCCGCCCCUCGGCACUA
This 75-nucleotide transfer RNA is filed under the name Candidatus Portnoybacteria bacterium CG_4_8_14_3_um_filter_44_15. Its description in RNAcentral is "tRNA-Phe". It matches the Rfam family "tRNA". From Rfam's summary of the family: Transfer RNA (tRNA) molecules are approximately 80 nucleotides in length. Their secondary structure includes four short double-helical elements and three loops (D, anti-codon, and T loops). Further hydrogen bonds mediate the characteristic L-shaped molecular structure. tRNAs have two regions of fundamental functional importance: the anti-codon, which is responsible for specific mRNA codon recognition, and the 3' end, to which the tRNAs corresponding amino acid is attached (by aminoacyl-tRNA synthetases). tRNAs cope with the degeneracy of the genetic code in two manners: having more than one tRNA (with a specific anti-codon) for a particular amino acid; and 'wobble' base-pairing, i.e. permitting non-standard base-pairing at the 3rd anti-codon position. The record is from RNAcentral. Lineage: Bacteria; Candidatus Portnoyibacteriota.